RNAcentral lists this ribosomal RNA (253 nucleotides) under uncultured bacterium. RNAcentral describes it as "partial 16S ribosomal RNA". It matches the Rfam family "Bacterial small subunit ribosomal RNA", at positions 524 to 776 of the family's 1533-position model. The record is from RNAcentral.
UACGUAGGGGGCUAGCGUUGUCCGGAAUCAUUGGGCGUAAAGAGCGUGUAGGCGGCCCUGUAAGUCCGCUGUGAAAGUCGGGGGCUCAACCCUCGAAUGCCGGUGGAUACUGUCGGGCUAGAGUGCGGAAGAGGCGAGUGGAAUUCCUGGUGUAGCGGUGAAAUGCGCAGAUAUCAGGAGGAACACCAAUUGCGAAGGCAGCUCGCUGGGACGUAACUGACGCUGAGACGCGAAAGCGUGGGGAGCAAACAGG